UAUAAGGGAUUUUGAGAUUUUACUUGUAACGUUUGACCACUCGUCUUAUUCAAAAAAUUUUAAAAUUAUUAUUUAUUUUAUUUGUGACUUACUUUAUUAUCUACCGUACUUUAAACACAACUUUUCGUUUUUUAUAUUUACAAAAAAAAUUUGAAUAAGACGAGUGGUCAAACGUUGUAAGUGAAAACUCAAAAUCCCUUAUA
MicroRNA precursor from Oryza sativa Indica Group (long-grained rice), 203 nucleotides. It matches the Rfam family "MIR812 microRNA precursor family". NCBI's taxonomy places the organism in Eukaryota, Viridiplantae, Streptophyta, Magnoliopsida, Poales, Poaceae. The record is from Rfam.